CGGGGGGCAGCAGUAAGGAAUAUUGCGCAAUGGGCGACAGCCUGACGCAGCGACGCCGCGUGGGGGAUGAAGGUCUUCGGAUUGUAAACCCCUUUCGGCAGGGAAGAUGGAACGGGUAACCGUUCGGACGGUACCUGCAGAAGCAGCCACGGCUAACUUCGUGCCAGCAGCCGCGGUAAUACGAAGGUGGCAAGCGUUGUUCGGAUUUACUGGGCGUACAGGGAGCGUAGGCGGUUGGGUAAGCCCUUCGUGAAAUCUCCGGGCCUAACCCGGAAAGUGCGGAGGGGACUGCUCGGCUAGAGGAUGGGAGAGGAGCGCGGAAUUCCCGGUGUAGCGGUGAAAUGCGUAGAGAUCGGGAGGAAGGCCGGUGGCGAAGGCGGCGCUCUGGAACAUUUCUGACGCUGAGGCUCGAAAGCGUGGGGAGCAAACAGGAUUAGAUACCCUUGUAGUC
Molecule: ribosomal RNA, 451 nt
Filed under: uncultured Nitrospira sp.
Lineage: Bacteria; Pseudomonadati; Nitrospirota; Nitrospiria; Nitrospirales; Nitrospiraceae
Description: bacterial SSU rRNA
Rfam family: Bacterial small subunit ribosomal RNA
Source: RNAcentral